Molecule: ribosomal RNA, 354 nt
Filed under: Ablepharus kitaibelii
Lineage: Eukaryota; Metazoa; Chordata; Lepidosauria; Squamata; Scincidae
Description: partial large subunit ribosomal RNA
Rfam family: Bacterial large subunit ribosomal RNA
Source: RNAcentral
GACCAGUAUGAACGGCUAAAUGAGGGCAAACCUGUCUCCUGCACCCAAUCAGUGAAAUUGAUCUCCUGGUACAAAAGCCAGAAUAAUUACAUAAGACGAGAAGACCCUGUGGAGCUUAAAAUUUUUAACUACCUAAAAACUAGUAUCAAUUUUAAGUUGGGGCGACUUCGGAACAAAACAAAACUUCCGAGCUAGGAGUUAUUCCUCCUAAUAAGGCCAACAAGCCAACUAAACCGACCCAGUCACACUGAUCAACGAACCAAGUUACCCCAGGGAUAACAGCGCAAUCCCCUCCAAGAGUCCAUAUCGACAAGGGGGUUUACAACCUCGAUGUUGGAUCAGGACACCCAAUGG